Molecule: long non-coding RNA, 584 nt
Organism: Oncorhynchus keta (chum salmon)
Lineage: Eukaryota; Metazoa; Chordata; Actinopteri; Salmoniformes; Salmonidae
Exons: 3
Source: RefSeq, a predicted model, not a curated record
AACACAAAUCCCAACCUGGAAACAGAGGAAAAACAACUGAAAAUCAAACAUUGUAAAGGAAGGUUAGGAGAGAGUCAUGAGUUGGUGUUGUGAGUACCCAGACUGGAAUGAGGAAGAGAGAGGAAGUCAUGAGUAGGUGUUGUGUUGUGAGUACCCAGACUGGAAUGAGGAAGAGAGAGGAAGUCAUGAGUAGGUGUUGUGAGUACCCAGACUGGAAUGAGGAAGAGAGAGGAAGUCAUGAGUAGGUGUUGUGUUGUGAGUACCCAGACUGGAAUGAGGAAGAGAGAGGAAGUCAUGAGUAGGUGUUGUGUUGUGAGUACCCAGACUGGAAUGAGGAAGAGAGAGGAAGUCAUGAGUAGGUGUUGUGUUGUGAGUACCCAGACUGGAAUGAGGAAGAGAAAGGAAGUCAUGAGUAGGUGUUGUGUUGUGAGUACCCAGACUGGAAUGAGGAAGAAAGUUGACUACAACAAAGCAACUGAAACAGUGGCCAACCAGUUCCUUAAGUUAAAUAACACACCGAGACAGAGACGGUACACACAGGACAGGCCAACUCAUUCACACAGGUCUCGUCUUGAUCCUUCUCU